CCUUGUCCUGGGAUCUCCUUAGGGAAGGGGUGGAUCCUUCUCCUGGGAUCCCCUGGCAAUAGGAAAGGGUGGAUCCUUCUCCUGGGAUCUCUCUGGCCAUGGGAAAGGAUGGAUCCUUCCCCUGGGAUCUCCCUAAGGAAGGGGUGGAUCCUUCUCCCAAGAUCUCCCUGGCCAUGGGAAAGGGUGGAUCCUUCUCCCAAGAUCUCCCUGGCCAUGGGAAGGGGUGGAUCCUUCUCCCAAGAUCUCCCAGGCCAUGGGAAGGGGUGGAUCCUUGUCCUGGGAUCCCCUGGCCAUGGGAAGGGGUGGAUCCUUCUCCCGGGGUCCCUCCCCAGGGAAGGGCUGGCCGUCGGGAUGGACAGUUGUGGUUCUGCUCCCGGAGCUCCCCUCCCGCCCGGGCCGAGCAGGGAUGGGCUCCCUGCGUCUCCUCCAAAGAAUUCCCGGCUCCCCUUCCUCCGGAGCGUGGCAGUGCCACGGCCACGGGCACGGGGGGGCUUUGGGGGCACCGGGGGGACCCCGAGGACCGUCCCCUGCCCACAGGUCACCCCCGUGCCCCCCCCGAAAACCUGUGGAGCCCGAUUUGCACUAUGGACCUUGACGUGUGCUAAUGUGAACCUGACCUUCUCCUGCCUCUUCCCACGCGGGAAUUCCGGGAUCCCAGCCCUUCCCAGCACCCCGGAGGACCUGCAGGGACGGUGACCCCCCGGAAUUCCAGCCCAGUUGUCUCCCAGUCACCCCAAAGGACCUGGAGGGAUGGGGACCUCCAGAAUUCCAACCCAGUCACCCCCCCAGCACCCCAGAGGACCUGGUGGGAUGGAAACCCCCAGAAUUCCAGCCCAGUUGUCUCCCAGUCACCCCCCCAGCAUCCCAAAGGACCUGGAGGGAUGGGGACCCCUGGAAUUCCAGCCCAGUUGUCUCCCAGUCACCCCUCCGGCUCCUCAGAGGGACCUGGAGGGACAGUGACCCCCCGGAAUUCCAGUUGUCUCCCAGUCACCCCGAAGGACCUGGAGGGAUGGGGACCCCCAGAAUUCCAGCCCAGUCACCCCCCCAGCACCCCAGAGGACCUGCAGGGACGGUGACCCCCGGAAUUCCAGCCCAGU
RNAcentral lists this long non-coding RNA (1097 nucleotides) under Manacus vitellinus (golden-collared manakin). RNAcentral describes it as "lncRNA (ENSMVIG00005003530.1)". Lineage: Eukaryota; Metazoa; Chordata; Aves; Passeriformes; Pipridae. The record is from RNAcentral.